GGGUUGGACGAAUCAGCAUUUAUAAGACCCAAACUUGUGCCCAGAUUUUAGAACAAUCUAACUUCCAGUCUUUGCAUUCGACCCAAUCUACAGGUGUUCAAAUAUGGGUCUGAUUUGGUCUAACAGAUUAGGAGAGUGGACCCAACUUAUUGCCAACCCUAAAAUGGGUAAGACUUCGAAACUUAUAUUUGAUCAAUUCAGUAAACAGGUGCAG
Molecule: long non-coding RNA, 214 nt
Filed under: Elaeis guineensis (African oil palm)
Lineage: Eukaryota; Viridiplantae; Streptophyta; Magnoliopsida; Arecales; Arecaceae
Description: long non-coding RNA (EGUI_LNC074277)
Source: RNAcentral